GCCUUCUUGGCUCAGUUGGCUAGAGCGCAGGUCUCAUACGUUCGUAUGAGUGGUCUAUUGACUACGAAAUCCUGAGGUCGCAAGUUCGAGCCUUGCAGGGGGCA
Molecule: transfer RNA, 104 nt
Filed under: Coprinopsis marcescibilis
Lineage: Eukaryota; Fungi; Basidiomycota; Agaricomycetes; Agaricales; Psathyrellaceae
Rfam family: tRNA
About the family: Transfer RNA (tRNA) molecules are approximately 80 nucleotides in length. Their secondary structure includes four short double-helical elements and three loops (D, anti-codon, and T loops).
Source: Rfam by way of RNAcentral